CCUGCCGGAAGCUACCGCUAUUGGAGUCCGAUUNNUANNUGCGAGUCGAGAGCUUUCGGAGCUCGGCAUACUGCUCAGUAACACGUGGGUAACCUGCCCUGUGCUGGGGGAUAACCUCGGGAAACUGAGAACAAUACCCCAUAGUCCACUGCGCCUGGAACGGUGAGUGGAUGAAAGCCCCGGCGGCACAGGAUGGGCCUGCGGCGUAUCAGGUAGUAGGGGGUGNAAAGUACCCUCUAGCCUUCGACGCGUACGGGUUGUGAGAGCAAUAGCCCGGAGAUGGAUUCUGAGACACGAAUCCAGGUCCUACGGGACGCAGCAGUCGCGAAACCUUGACAAUGCGGGGAACCGUGAUCAGGGGACUCCAANNGCCAGGAGUAAGAUCCUGUGCUUUUCUUCUCUCUUCAAAGGAUUAGGAAUAAGAGGUGGGUAAGGACGGUGCCAGCCGCCGCGGUAAUACCGGCGCCUCGAGUGGUAGUCGAUUUUAUUGGGCCUAAAACGNCCGUCGCCGGUCUGGUGCAUUCGUGGGUAAAUCAACNNGCUCAACGGGUUGAAU
Molecule: ribosomal RNA, 556 nt
Filed under: uncultured archaeon
Lineage: Archaea
Description: bacterial SSU rRNA
Rfam family: Archaeal small subunit ribosomal RNA
Source: RNAcentral